Physella acuta is the source of this 79-nucleotide small nucleolar RNA. The record is from RefSeq and is a predicted model, not a curated record. Lineage: Eukaryota; Metazoa; Mollusca; Gastropoda; Physidae.
UGUGCCUGUGAUAUUUGUUACCACAUAGUUUUGAUUAUUGAAUGAGAAAACGAUUUCAUGCACUACCAUCUGAGGCACC